UAAAAGGCUCUUUUCAGAGCCACCUACAGUUUCUGUUAAAAGAGC
This is a regulatory RNA element of Loxodonta africana (African savanna elephant), 45 nucleotides long. It matches the Rfam family "Histone 3' UTR stem-loop". From Rfam's summary of the family: The mRNAs of metazoan histone genes lack a poly-A tail. 3' end processing occurs at a site between a highly conserved stem-loop (modelled by this family) and a purine rich region around 20 nts downstream (the histone downstream element, or HDE). Lineage: Eukaryota; Metazoa; Chordata; Mammalia; Proboscidea; Elephantidae. The record is from Rfam.